This 1215-nucleotide ribosomal RNA is filed under the name Catonella morbi. Its description in RNAcentral is "bacterial SSU rRNA". It matches the Rfam family "Bacterial small subunit ribosomal RNA", at positions 28 to 1232 of the family's 1533-position model. RNAcentral also lists the same sequence under 2 other names. The record is from RNAcentral. Lineage: Bacteria; Bacillati; Bacillota; Clostridia; Lachnospirales; Lachnospiraceae.
GAUGAACGCUGGCGGCGUGCCUAACACAUGCAAGUCGAACGGAGAUUACGGACGGAAGUUUUCGGAUGGAAGACUGUAAUUCUUAGUGGCGGACGGGUGAGUAACGCGUGGGCAACCUGCCCUAUACAGGGGGAUAGCAGCUGGAAACGGCUGGUAAGACCGCAUAAGUCGGCGGAACCGCAUGGUUUUGUCGGGAAAUGAGCAAUCAGGUAUAGGAUGGACCCGCGUCCGAUUAGCCAGUUGGCAGGGUAAAAGCCUACCAAAGCGACGAUCGGUAGCCGGACUGAGAGGUCGGGCGGCCACAUUGGGACUGAGACACGGCCCAAACUCCUACGGGAGGCAGCAGUGGGGGAUAUUGCACAAUGGAGGAAACUCUGAUGCAGCGACGCCGCGUGAGUGAAGAAGUAUGUCGGUAUGUGAAAGCUCUAUCAGCAGGGAAGAUGAUGACGGUACCUGACUAAGAAGCCCCGGCUAACUACGUGCCAGCAGCCGCGGUAAUACGUAGGGGGCAAGCGUUAUCCGGAUUUACUGGGUGUAAAGGGAGCGCAGGCGGUUUUGCAAGUUGAGAGUGGAAGCAGGGGGCUCAACCCCCUGACUGCUCCCAAAACUGUAAAACUUGAGUAUGGGAGAGGCAGGCGGAAUUCCUAGUGUAGCGGUGAAAUGCUUAGAUAUUAGGAAGAACACCGGUGGCGAAGGCGGCCUGCUGGACCAAAACUGACGCUGAGGCUCGAAAGCGUGGGUAGCAAACAGGAUUAGAUACCCUGGUAGUCCACGCUGUAAACGAUGAAUACUAGGUGCUGGGAGGCAUAAGCCUUUCGGUGCCGUCGCAAACGCAUUAAGUAUUCCACCUGGGGAGUACGUUCGCGAGAAUGAAGCUCAAGGGAAUUGACGGGGACCCGCACAAGCGGUGGAGCAUGUGGUAUAAUUCGACGCAACGCGAAAGAACCUUACCCGGGUCUUGAGAAUCCUCCUGAAAUACUGAGUUAAUGUCAGUAGUCCUUCGGGACAGGAGAGACAGGUGGUGCAUGGGUGUCGUCAGCUCGUGUCGUGAGAUGUUGGGGUUAAGUCCGCGACGAGCGCAGCCCCUAUUCUUAGUAGCCAGCGGGUAGGGCCGGGCACCCUAAAGAAACUGCCCGAGGAUUACUCGGGAGGGAAGGCGGCGGAUGACGUCGAAUCAUCAUGCCUCUUAUGACCGGGGCUGCCACGUCUCAGGUA